RNAcentral lists this ribosomal RNA (442 nucleotides) under uncultured bacterium. RNAcentral's name for it is "partial 16S ribosomal RNA". It matches the Rfam family "Bacterial small subunit ribosomal RNA", at positions 338 to 795 of the family's 1533-position model. The record is from RNAcentral.
CCUAGGGAGGCAGCAGUGAGGAAUACUGGUCAAUGGACGCAAGUCUGAACCAGCCAUGCCGCGUGAAGGAAGAAGGCUCUCGGGUUGUAAACUUCUUUUAUCAGGGACGAAGCAAGUGACGGUACCUGAUGAAUAAGCCACGGCUAACUACGUGCCAGCAGCCGCGGUAAUACGUAGGUGGCAAGCGUUAUCCGGAUUUACUGGGUGUAAAGGGCGUGUAGGCGGGAAAGCAAGUCAGAUGUGAAAACCAUGGGCUCAACCUGUGGCCUGCAUUUGAAACUGUUUUUCUUGAGUACUGGAGAGGCAGACGGAAUUCCUAGUGUAGCGGUGAAAUGCGUAGAUAUUAGGAGGAACACCAGUGGCGAAGGCGGUCUGCUGGACAGCAACUGACGCUGAGGCGCGAAAGCGUGGGGAGCAAACAGGAUUAGAUACCCCGGUAGUC